UUCCGGUUGAUCCCGCCGGAGGCUACUGCUAUUGGAGUUCGAUUAAGCCAUGCGAGUCUAAGGGGUACUUGUACCCCUGGCAUAAUGCUCAGUAACACGUGGAUAAUCUACCCUUAGGUGGGGCAUAAACCCGGGAAACUGGGGCUAAUUCCCCAUAGAUACAGAACGCUGGAAUGCCUCUGUAUUCAAAGCUCCGGCGCCUAAGGAUGAGUCUGCGACCUAUCAGGUAGUAGUCAGGGUCACGACCUGACUAGCCAACGACGGGUACGGGGUGUGAGAGCACUUGCCCGGAGAUGGUUUCUGAGACACGAAACCAGGCCCUACGGGGCGCAGCAGGCGCGAAAACUUCGCAAUGCGGGAAACCGUGACGAGGGAACUCCAAGUGUCUAUGCAAUACAUAGACUGUUUUUCAGCCUAAAUAGCUGUUAGAGUAAGGGGUGGGUAAGACCGGUGCCAGCCGCCGCGGUAACACCGGCACCCCGAGUGGUAGCCACUAUUAUUGGGCCUAAAGCGUUCGUAGCCGGUUUAGUAAAUUCUUGGGUAAAUCGUACAGCUUAACUGUGCGGAUUCCGGGGACACUACUAGACUUGAGACCGGGAGAGAUUAGAGGUACUUGCAGGGGAGCGGUGAAAUGUUGUAAUCCUGCAGGGACCACCAGUGGCGAAGGCGUCUAAUCAUAACGGCUCUGACGGUGAGGAACGAAACCCUGGGGCGCAAACGGGAUUAGAUACCCCGGUAGUCCAGGGCGUAAACGCUGCUGACUUGGUGUUGGAGAUCCUACGAGGGUGUCCAGUGCUGGCGCGAAGGUAUUAAGUCAGCCGCCUGGGGAGUACGGUCGCAAGACUGAAACUUAAAGGAAUUGGCGGGGCAGCAC
Molecule: ribosomal RNA, 874 nt
Filed under: uncultured euryarchaeote
Lineage: Archaea; Methanobacteriati; Methanobacteriota
Description: bacterial SSU rRNA
Rfam family: Archaeal small subunit ribosomal RNA
Source: RNAcentral